Cheilinus undulatus (humphead wrasse) is the source of this 448-nucleotide non-coding RNA. The record is from the annotation of a RefSeq genome assembly. Lineage: Eukaryota; Metazoa; Chordata; Actinopteri; Labriformes; Labridae.
UCUCUCCACUCUCCAAGUCACAAGGCCAUUCUCAGCACACACUGACAACAUGCUGUGGACUCUGCUCUCUCUCAUCACUGCUCUAACAUGUGUGAGUGCUGUGACGCUGGUGACACAGAAGCCUCCUGUUGUGUCUGUGAGGAGAGGAGAGACCGCCACCAUGGACUGUAACCUGGGGAACGUGACUGACAGUGCUGCUCGCUGGUACAAACAGAUUCAUGGAGGAGUUCCUCAGUUUAUACUGUAUAACUAUCACAGCCGGAGCUCUCUAGUGUAUGGCUCUGGUUUCUCCUCUCUAAAGUUCACAUCCACUCAUCAGUCACAAUCAGAUUAUCGAUUGAUCAUCAGCACUGUGGAGGAGGGAGACUCAGCAGUUUAUUACUGUUCCUUAAAAAGUGUUAACAAAUCAACAUUCUCUCUUUAUAUACACAUUGAAAUGUCUUUAUAA